Molecule: ribosomal RNA, 405 nt
Filed under: uncultured Anaerostipes sp.
Lineage: Bacteria; Bacillati; Bacillota; Clostridia; Lachnospirales; Lachnospiraceae
Description: bacterial SSU rRNA
Rfam family: Bacterial small subunit ribosomal RNA
Source: RNAcentral
CCCUAUGACAGCUUUUUAAUCGAAGUUUUCCUUCGGGACAGAGGAGACAGGUGGUGCAUGGUUGUCGUCAGCUCGUGUCGUGAGAUGUUGGGUUAAGUCCCGCAACGAGCGCAACCCCUAUCUUUAGUAGCCAGCAUUUCAGGUGGGCACUCUAGAGAGACUGCCAGGGACAACCUGGAGGAAGGUGGGGAUGACGUCAAAUCAUCAUGCCCCUUAUGGCCAGGGCUACACACGUGCUACAAUGGCGUAAACAAAGGGAAGCGAGACCGUGAGGUGGAGCAAAUCCCAGAAAUAACGUCUCAGUUCGGAUUGUAGUCUGCAACUCGACUACAUGAAGCUGGAAUCGCUAGUAAUCGCGAAUCAGAAUGUCGCGGUGAAUACGUUCCCGGGCCUUGUACACACCGA